GCACAACUCCACACAUUCAUCACGCCCGCAGCGGGGGAAGCCGGUCCGAGUCCGGCGCUGACCCGCAACCGUAGGCCUCCCGACCAGCCAGGGUCGGGGGCGAGCCGGAGCACCCGAUGCGACGCGUCCUGAUCA
This 135-nucleotide non-coding RNA is filed under the name Nocardioides sp. The record is from RNAcentral. Lineage: Bacteria; Bacillati; Actinomycetota; Actinomycetes; Propionibacteriales; Nocardioidaceae.